UGCACAGCACAUUAACUGGCUCUGGCUGC
RNAcentral lists this non-coding RNA (29 nucleotides) under Rattus norvegicus (Norway rat). The record is from RNAcentral. Lineage: Eukaryota; Metazoa; Chordata; Mammalia; Rodentia; Muridae.